RNAcentral lists this long non-coding RNA (219 nucleotides) under Lathyrus oleraceus (garden pea). Its description in RNAcentral is "Pisum sativum (pea) long non-coding RNA (PSAT_LNC025873)". Lineage: Eukaryota; Viridiplantae; Streptophyta; Magnoliopsida; Fabales; Fabaceae. The record is from RNAcentral.
GAGAUAUUUGUUUGUGACUGCUUAUUCCAAAGGAUGGGAGCUACUUGGAUCAUCAAUAUGAUCUCAAGAGGGGAACUCCUAAUGUGGUUUUAUUUUAUUUUCCCUUAUCUCUUGUAUGUUUAGGAAUUUAACCCUUUUUUUCCCCAUUCUAACCCAAGCCAAAACUUUUUGUGCAAACAAUAACUUUUGUUUUCAACAUUAGAAACCUAAGCCUUAUGC